AAUGCGAUAGUUAUGACUACACAUGCUGUAGACUAUAACUACCUGUGGGUUCAUUAUUUGACAUCAUUCCCAAGAUCUUUAGCUAAUAGCAAAAUUAAAUUUGAUAAAAAUAUCUUUUUCUCUUCGGGUGAAGUGCUCGAUUUUGAGAUCAUGCUCCAUACAGGAUCUUGAGUCUCUAAUAAUCUCUUUCAAGAGCUGAGCAUUGUUUGUGUGUUGAUAUUCAAAGAUUCUAUUACAUCUCUCCUUCCACAUCCACCAAAUAGCGCAUCUGAAAGUAACCUUUGCCAGUUGUGUAAAUGGCCCUUUUCUUGAGAAACAUUGCAUAAGGUCGCCUAGUUCUUGGUGCAAGUUUGGUUGCGGCAGUCUAUUGAGUUCAAAUAGCUGGAGAAUCUCCUUCCAUAUCCAUUUUGUAUAAU
This 416-nucleotide long non-coding RNA is filed under the name Musa acuminata (dwarf banana). RNAcentral's name for it is "long non-coding RNA (MACU_LNC010679)". The record is from RNAcentral. Lineage: Eukaryota; Viridiplantae; Streptophyta; Magnoliopsida; Zingiberales; Musaceae.